UGACGAUGGAGUUGACGGGAACAUUCGCACAGAAGAGGAAUUUGUGAGGAUUCUGAACCACUCAUUGAGGCCGUGGAGUGUGUUGUUUAAUGAGUAAUACAGCUAACUGCAGUGUUCCACAAGACUGUUACCAGACCUUCAUGGGACCUUUCCGUUCUUUCUGGGUUGUCUUGAGGUUCUUCAGCGUUAGAGAGCAACUGAAAACAGGACACAGACCCAACCAGAGGACAACAACUCUACAUUGACUCAGAGGAAUCCUCCAGGACGACGACACAAACCAAAACCACUGCACAACUCUACAUCAACUCCCACACUUUCCA
Long non-coding RNA from Engraulis encrasicolus (European anchovy), 320 nucleotides. RefSeq lists it as uncharacterized. NCBI's taxonomy places the organism in Eukaryota, Metazoa, Chordata, Actinopteri, Clupeiformes, Engraulidae. The transcript has 4 exons. The record is from RefSeq and is a predicted model, not a curated record.